AGCUGGUUCUCCCCGAAAUAGCUUUAGGGCUAGCGUCGGAAAGAACCUUAGUGAAGGUAGAGCACUGAAUGUGUGAUGGCCCCAUCCCGGGGUACUGAAUACAAUCAAACUGCGAAUGUCAUUAAGGAUGUCCGGCAGUCAGACUGUGAGUGAUAAGGUCCAUGGUCAAGAGGGAAACAGCCCAGACCGCCAGUUAAGGUCCCAAAAUACAGGCUAAGUGGAAAAGGAUGUGGGGAUGCCCAGACAACUAGGAGGUUGGCUCAGAAGCAGCCAUCCUUUAAAGAGUGCGUAACAGCUCACUAGUCGAGUGACCCUGCGCCGAAAAUGUACCGGGGCUAAGCCUGAUACCGAAACUGCGGAUUGUAGGAAACUAUAGUGGUAGGGGAGCGUUGUAUACGAGCAGAAGCCGUACCGUGAGGAGCGGUGGAUUGUAUAGAAGUGAGAAUGCCGGUGUGAGUAGCGAGAUGUAGGUGAGAAUCCUACACACCGAAAGCCCAAGGAUUCCAGGGGAAGGUUCGUCCGCCCUGGGUAAGUCGGGACCUAACGCGAGGCCGAAAGGCGUAGUGGAUGGAAAGCAGGCGAAAGAUUCCUGCACCCGUAUAUGGAGCGAAGGAGUGACGGAGACGGAUAGUGUGACCCUCUUAAUGGAUUGAGGGCGAAGCGAAGCGGCUGGUUACCAGGCAAAUCCGGUAACCAUAAGGCUAGAGCGUGAGAGGUAAGCGAAAUCUUCGGAAAGUAGCGAAGCACAUGAUGACGGCUUCCAGGAAAAGCUUCUGGCAAUGCAUAUGCGGCCCGUACCAAAACCGACACAGGUGGGCAGGGAGAGAAUCCCGAGGUGAGCGAGAGAACUGUUGCCAAGGAACUCGGCAAAAUGACUCCGUAAGUUAGCGAGAAGGAGUGCUUAAGCAAUUAAGCCGCAGUGAAGAGGCCCAAGCGACUGUUUAACUAAAACACAGCUCUCUGCGAAGUCGCAAGACGAAGUAUAGGGGGUGACACCUGCCCGGUGCUGGAAGGUUAAGAGGAUCUGUUAAGAGCGAUCUGAAGCAGUGAUCCGAAGCCCCAGUGAACGGCGGCCGUAACUAUAACGGUCCUAAGGUAGCGAAAUUCCUUGUCAGGUAAGUUCUGACCCGCACGAAAGGUGUAACGAUUUGGGCGCUGUCUCGGCAGCAGACUCGGUGAAAUCUUAGUACCUGUGAAAAUGCAGGUUACCCGCAACUAGACGGAAAGACCCCAUGGAGCUUUACUGCAGCCUGAUAUUGAAUUCUGGUCAUACAUGUACAGGAUAGGUGGGAGACAAAGAGACGUGCACGCCAGUGUACGAGGAGUCGACGUUGGGAUACCACUCUUGUGUGACCGGGGUUCUAACCUGGUAUCGAGAACAGGUACGGGGAGAGUGUCAGGUGGGCAGUUUGACUGGGGCGGUCGCCUCCCAAAGAGUAACGGAGGCGCCCAAAGGUACGCUCAGAUUGGAUGGAAACCAAUCGACGAGUGCAAUUGCAGAAGCGUGCUUGACUGUGAGACUUACAAGUCGAACAGGGACGAAAGUCGGGAAUAGUGAUCCGGCGGUGCCGAAUGGAAGGGCCGUCGCUCAACGGAUAAAAGCUACCCU
RNAcentral lists this ribosomal RNA (1609 nucleotides) under human gut metagenome. RNAcentral's name for it is "bacterial LSU rRNA". It matches the Rfam family "Bacterial large subunit ribosomal RNA", at positions 847 to 2469 of the family's 2925-position model. The record is from RNAcentral.